UUGGCCUCAAAUCGAGUAGGACUACCCGCUGAACUUAAGCAUAUCAAUAAGCGGAGGAAAAGAAACUAACAAGGAUUCCCCUAGUAACGGCGAGUGAAGAGGGAAAAGCUCAAAUUUUGAAUCUGAUGCCUUUGGUAUCCGAAUUGUAAUCUAGAGAAGUGUUUUCUGUGAUGGACCGUGCACAAGUCUCCUGGAAUGGAGCGUCAUAGAGGGUGAGAAUCCCGUAUAUGGCACGGACUCCCAUUGCUCUACGAUACACUCUCGACGAGUCGAGUUGUUUGGGAAUGCAGCUCCAAAUGGGUGGGUAAAUGCCAUCUAAAGCUAAAUAUUGGCGAGAGACCGAUAGCGAACAAGUACCGUGAGGGAAAGAUGAAAAGCACUUUGGAAAGAGAGUGAAACAGUACGUGAAA
This 410-nucleotide ribosomal RNA is filed under the name uncultured fungus. RNAcentral describes it as "eukaryotic LSU rRNA". It matches the Rfam family "Eukaryotic large subunit ribosomal RNA", at positions 1 to 404 of the family's 3401-position model. The record is from RNAcentral. Lineage: Eukaryota; Fungi.